CGCGCGCCCAACCCCGCGCCCCGCACCCUGGCAACGCAGCGGGGGUCUCGUGGGUCCCUGGAGCUCCCGGGACUGGCGGUCACGCCGUGAGAACAGUGCGCCCUGGGGGGCGGGACGGGCUGGGGCUUCCACGCGAUGUAGGAAAAGGGCGGCUUGCCCGGCGCGGACUUAGGCCGGAGCCUGGUGGUGCGAGGUCCCUGGCUCGGAUUUCUCCCGAACCAACCGGCCGAGGCCCUAGGAAGGGCCCUCCUGAGCACGUGGCUCGUUCAUUCAUUCGACAAACAUUACCUGAGCACCCGCCCACCCAUUGCCCGAGUGUGCUGGGAGCGCCGCACCGGCCGGCUGGCAGGUGGGAAAAGGGACGCCUCGGGUAACAGCACGGGUGCAGGGCCUGUGUGCUGAUGGAGAAGACCCUGAUGAAGUAGGAAAGAGAAGGGGAGCCCAGCCAUUGAGGUAAGCAGGGGCUGGGGUACAGAGUCUCAGGGGCCCUCACUGAAUUGGGAGGAAACUCCAGAGUGGGGGCCCCAGAAGCCAAGAGCAGGGGUCUUCCCCACGGGAGCAGGAGGGAGAGUUGGUUUGGGUUCAGACAAGCCUCUGUCCUUGGCAACAGUGUUCCUGUGUGGCCGACAGCUCUGGGCACUUGCCCUUCAGCCUUCCAGAUCCUCCAUCCGGAUUGGGCUAGAUUCUGCUUAAAGUUCUUGCCACAGAGACAUUAACGUGGAAUUGUGGCCAGGUCCCCAGGAUCACCCUGCACACCUCUGACCAGGACCUCCACUUCUAGCGAUGGCCUCAAGGAAGAUUUAUUUACGGGGAACCAGAGUCCAAUGGCCCCUGAGUUCCCGGCCAUGCUGCGGGGUUUCUUUUUCUAAGCCCCCCUCAUUCUCUCUGUAUUCCUUUGCUUUCCAAUGGCUUUGGCUUUUUUGUCGUCUUCUAAAGAGCUCUGCUUUGUUCUUGGGCCCACUUACCCGUCUCCGAUUCUUGCUUGUUUCUUUCCCUCUGCCUGGCAUGACUCAUGCCACCCCCUGGCUGGGUUUGGUUUCUUCUUGGUUACAUGAGCAGAUCCUUUAAGCCAUGAAGCGCAGUGACUCAGCUGCAUCCCUGGGGAUUGAAAUCGUUAAGAUGGGCUUUCUUUUGGAGCACUGUGCCAUCUUUAAGCAUUUAUGAAGCACUUUCCCCAGGCUGUGGUUGCAAAGAGGCUGAGGACUACAAGACCGGCUUUGGGCAGACAGGUGAGGGUUCCACUCUGCCCUUCUUAGUAGUGGGAUGUUUGGUAAGUGGCAUAACCUUUCUCACAUGGGGCCCCUGUGGAUGGUUGCACAGGCUGCGCACUGCACAACCCUAGGAGGCUCUAUUCAGAUAGAAAUCCACAUGAAUAGAAUGCCCUGUGGACGUGCUGCGCGUGAGACCGACAGCUCACAUGCUACUGCAUGUGAUCCUCUGGGUCUGUUUUCGUCUCUGUAAAACUGAUUUGAUCACACACCAUUAGAAUUGUUGGGGAAAUGAUUAUCCAUGUAAACUUCCUGAUCUCGGCUUAGGGUAUCGGUCAAGUGUGUGGCAAUGUUGUGUGACUGGAUGCUGAGAGGUGUAGGAGUGGCCUUUGUCCUUAGUCAGGUUUAUUGUGUUGUUUGAGAGGAAGACAAACCCCCUAAAAAUAAACCCUGGGAGGUGUGUGGACCUUGGCCAGACCCCAUAAGCGCCCCAUGUACCCACCACCUUUAGCACUCCAGUGCUCGCCAGCCAGCCUCCCAGGGCCUGCAUGGGGUUUUUUUGGAAUGAGGGAUUCUGCUUACCACCCGUAUAGCAGGUCAGAAAUACCAGGGAAUUAAAGGCCUUUGGGAGCAGAUUCAGCUGGCACAUAAACACCUCUGCUCCCUGGUCCUUCAGUGGGAUAACUCAGAGGUAGGUAUUCUACACUGGCUCCUGGAGUUCCCAGCAGGACAAUGCUCCAUGUCAUGGGGAGCUGGCUGAUGAAUUCCUUUUCCUGUCUCAGUUCUCCACCCUCUUGCAGCAUACCUGGAGCCUCCUGGGCAGCUUCUUGCAUUUCAAUUCCAGUCUUUUUGUUUUGUUUUUGAAAUGAGAGUCUCGCUCUAUCGCCCAGGCUGGAAUGCAGUGGUGCUAUCUCAGCUCACUGCAACCUCCACCUCCCGGGUUCAAGUGAUUCUUGUGCCUCAGCCUCCCGAGUAGCUGAGGGUACAGGCAUGUGCUACCACUCCUGGCUAAUUUUUGUAUUUUUGGUAGAUAAGAGGUUUCACCAUCUUGGCCAGGUUCAUCUCGAACUUCUGAUCUUAGGUAAUCUGUCUGCCUUGGCCUCCCAAUGUACUGGAAUUACGGAUGUGAGCCAUUGUGUCUGGCCUAAUUUCAGUCUUAAGAUUGGUUUCUUAAGAAGCCAGACAGCGACACGGGGCUGUGCUCCUUUAGAGCUCCAGGUGCAUUCCCACCAUGCAAUCUGCAGUCUUGUUGCAGACUGAUUGACCUGUUUGCUUCCCUCCUGAACCUGAGUGCCAAGCCCAUGUCUUCUCUGACAUGAAAGCCCCAGUGCCCAGCACAGUGCCUGACCUGAAAUGGGACCCACAGAAAAUCUGCUGAACGCUCCUGCAGUGUGGGUUUCACCCACAUAGCGUAUCUCCAGGGUUAAAAUAAUUGAAGUGAGUAUAUUUUCCCCAGUAUCUACUUUCCAACACACUUGAUCUUUUUCAUUGCAAGUUUAAUGAGUGAUCAUUAAAAACUAAGCCUAUAAAUUUCAGGUAGAUUUCAUCACAGACCCUGGAGAAGAGGCAGGUGGAGGAUUCUUGCCAAGGCACUGCCUUCUUGCUCUCUGAAAGGACACAGAUGCCUGAGCUACCAGAUCAGGACGCUGUCUCUGCAUGGCCCACAUUUCUCUGGAGUGUGUGGGAAUGGACGUGGGGUAGGAGUCAACCUUCCCUGGCGGCAGCAGCUGCUUAGCGUCCCUUGGGCAUCCUGCGUGCAGUGUGUUCGGCCUCACUGCCAGAAGCUGUCAUCUUGGGGAAGGGACCAGAGCAAUAUGCCAGGGAGAAUCUCAGAACCAAGGUGACACAAAAGAGAUGAGAUCUUGCUCCAUUGCCCAGGCUGGUCUCGAACUCCUGGCCUCAAAUGAUCCUGCUGUCUUGGCCUCCCAAAGUGCUGGGAUUACAGGUCCAAAGCUCAAGCACUGAGAACAGUCAACAGCUGCCAGAUGCUCCAGAGGAGGAGGAAGGCCCAGGGACGAGGCCUGGCUUCAGUAGCUCUUCAGCCUCUUCCUUCUUCCUGCCCUCCAAGGCUGCCUCUGCUCCUGCAUCCCAAACCUCAGCCCUGUAAUUACCACUUGCCAUCCUGUCUCCAGUCCAUCCUUCACCGUGACACAUCCUGAAGCCUCUUAGACACUUUUAUCAUCACAGGAGCAGGCAGUGUCCAUGGGAGACUCAGCUGCCCCCGACCCUCCAAAAUGUACCAUUUUAAGUGCACAUUCCAGUACCAUUAAGUAUAUCCACAUUGUGAUGCAGUCAAUCUCCAGAACUUUUUCAUCUUGCAAAGCUGCAAUUCUAUACCCAUUAAACAACAUUAACCCUCCCCGCAGGCCCUGGCGACCAUCAUUCUGCUUUCUGCCUUUAUGAAUCUGACUCCUCUAGGGACUUCCUAUCAGUGGAAUCACACAGGAUUUGUCCUGUUGGGAGUGACUUAUUUCAUUUAACAUCAUGUCUUCAGGGUUCAUUUGUGCUGUAGCAGCCAUCAGCAUUUCCGUCCUUUCUACAGCUGAAUAAUGUUCCAUCACAUGGAUAGACCACAUUGUACAUACUCAUUUAUCUGUUGAUGGACACCUCUUGUGCUGCUAUGAACAUGGGUGUAGAAGAUGGGUUGGUUUUUAAACAAUGAAUCUUGAAGAAGUAGGGUUUCACUGGCAGGGCAGGGGAAAGCAGGGACCAGGGAACACACCACAGCAUGUGCAAAGGCCCUGGGUCAUGCUGACUUGGUGGGCUUGGGCAUGGCAUGGGGUUCUAUGUCACUGGGUUUCGGGCAUGUGGUUCAGAGUCAAGGGAGAUGAGGCUGGACAGCAGACUGAGUGGGAUCACAACAGGCCUGUGUGACACAGAGAGGGCCCCCAGCCACAUCAUUAUGUGAAGAUGGUAAUUAGAUGUCAUAUUUCCUGGGAGUGGACCACAUUAAAAUUGUCCUCAGUCUCAAUGGAGUAAACAAAAGGAAAUGGUUUGCUCACCAGUCAGAGGGACCCAGUCAAGCAUCUGGUCUGUUGGGCUGAUUAUAAAGCCAGUCCGAACCCAAAGCAGGAUUCAGCACCAAAUCCUACUAUGUCACUGGUAACACGCCCUUUGGAGUGCUAAGAAUUCCUGAGAAUUGGGACUGAGUCUAAUUCGAAUCGUUUUUUGGUCUUAAAUGAGUUACUUACACCCCCUGAAUCUCAGUGUUUUUAUUUGUCACAUGAACAAAUGAUUCACUUUUAAGAAUCCUUAAAGUGGCCGGGUGCGGUGGCUCAAGCCUGUAAUCCCAGCACUUUGGGAGGCCGAGGCGGGUGGAUCACGAGGUCAUGAGAUCGAGACCAUCCUGGUCAACAUGGUGAAACCCCGUCUCUACUAAAGAUACAAAAAAUUAGCUGGGCAUGGUGGCACGUGCCUGUAAUCCCAGCUACUCGGGAGGCUGAGGCAGGAGAAUUGCCUGAACCCAGGAGGCGGAGGUUGCCGUGAGCCGAGAUCGCGCCAUUGCACUCCAGCCUGGGUAACAAGAGUGAAACUCCGUCUCUAAAAAAAAAAAAAGAAUCCUUAAAGCUUCCCCAGAGUCCAUGCACUUAUAAAUUCUAUCAAUGCUGGUGUUAAAUAUGCUGCUAUUCUCCCCCGUUACUCUGUGGGAAUAUAAUUCUACAAAUCGCUGGCCUUAGACAAAUUGUUUAACCUCUCUCUGUGCCUUCGUCUGAAUCAUUAUCUGUAAAAUAGGGUUGUUAGGAAUAAUACCUUCCCUUUUUUUCUCCUGCAGGUCGCUGUGUGUAUCCGUAUGGAAAUUGGGAAAGAAAGCAUUCCGAGCAAGGUGUUCCUGUUCCCCUAACAUUUCAUUGCAUCAGGCCGUUCUCUCCACCUCUCCAAUAUCAACACUCAAUGCGUAUCUUCCUGAGCUCUUUUCUCCAAAGUUCUUGACCUUCCUCAGGGCCCAGCGUCUCUCUUGACUCUUGCAGAAUAGUGUCUUCUUGGUCAUCCAUGUGUUGGGCUGGUCAGAUCGGAAACAGGUGAGCGAGACCCCCUUUACCUCCACAGCCUGCCUUCAGGUACCCUGGCCCAGUCACAGCAGGUGGGAUGUGCACACCCUUCCCGCCUUGGCUCAUCCCUUUCUCUUCUUGGGGAGCGCCUUCCCACCUGUGGCCACCAGAGUCCUUCCAUCCUUCAAGGUUCCUGUCAAAUGUCCCACCCCCAUGACAGCUGACUGCAAUCGCCUCUUCUCACCCAGGUAGAACAUUUCUCCCCACUUUGAUUGACAUCUGCUUACAACGUGGCAUCUUUCAAUUUGGCAUCGUCCUCUCCCAACAGAUAUUAGUGGACAGAUUAGACAUGUAUGUGUCUGUUCUGUAUGUGGGGCAUCUGUGGUUUUCAUCAGAUUCCCAAAUUGUCUGCAACAAGAAGUGAAUAUUGGCCAGUACUUUGGGAGGCCGAGGUGGGCAGAGCACGAGGUCAGGAGUUCGAGAUCAGUCUGGCCAACAUAGUGAAACUAUGCCCCUACUAAAAACCAUGCCUCAACUAAAAAUACAGAAAAAUUAGCCAGGCGUGGUGGUAUACACCCGUAAUACCAGCUACUUGGGAGGCUGAGGCAGGAGGGUAGUAUGAACCUGGGAGGCAGAAGUUGCAGUGAGCCAAGAUUGCAGCACUGCACUGCAGCCUGGGCAGCAGUACGAGACUCUGCCUCAAAAAAAAAAAAAAAAAAAAAAAAAAAAUGAAUGUUAAGGGCUACUGAAUUAUAAAAUUAAUGUAAAAACUGAAAUCAGGAAGAACUAAGAAAACACAGCAUUUAUCUAAGCUCUGUGGUGAGGAGCUCUAAGCAUAAUAGGACACGAUUAGAACACAGAGAAUAUAAGAGGGUUGGCUUUCUAAAAAUCAGUAUUGUAUAUUAAAAAAAUAGCCAAGUUAACCUAAAAGUUGAUAUAAUAAGGUAAAUUUUCUUUUUGAUAUUGUGAUAGUUUUCCACUACUGUCACUACAAACUACUACAAAAUUAAUGGCUUAAAACAGCACAAGUGUAUCGUCUGACAGUUUUGUAAGACAGAACCCCAAAAUGGGCCCCAGUAGGCCAGAAUCAAGGUUUUGGCAAGACUGCAUUUCUUCUGGACGUUCCAGGGAGAAUCUGCCUUCUUCACUUUUCCAGUUUUCUGUUUCUAGAAGCUCCUUUCAUUGCUUGACUCUUGGGUCCUCCCUCCUCCCAUUUCCAAAGCUAGAGCGCUCAGCUGGGUCUUUGUCACAUUCCAUCAUCCUGCCCAUGACUCUUCUGCCGCCCUCUUCCACACAUAGGGACCCUUUCAGUUUCUAAGGGCAGCCACACUAGUAAAGCACCACACACUGGCCAGGUCGGGGGGCUCAUGCCUGUAAUCCCAGCACUUUGGGAGGCCGAGGCUGGUGGAUCACUGGAGGUCAGGAGUUUGAGACCAGUCUGGCCAACAUGGCAAAACCAUGUCUCUACUAAAAAUUCAAAAAUUAGCCAGGUGUGGUGGCGCAUGCCUGUAAUCCCAGCUAUUAGGGAGGCUGAGGCAGGAGAAUCACAUGAACCUGGGAGGCAGAGGUUGCAGUAAGCCAAGAUCACACCACUGCACUCCAGCCUGGGUGACAAGAGCAAGACUCUGUCUCAGGAAGAAAAAAAAAGUACCACAAACUGAGUGGCUUACAAGCUUAUUCUCAUAGCUCAGGAGGCUGGAAUCCUGAAAUCUAAGUGUCAGCAGGGGAGGUCCUACCAGAGGCUUGGGUGGCCUACUCCUAGCUUCUGGUGGCUUUCAGCAAUCCUUGGCUUGUAGCAGCAAAAUGCAAUCUCUGCCUCUGUUGUUGCCUGACGUUCUCUCUAUGUGUCUAUGUGUGUCUGUGUCUCUUGUUUUCUCUUCUGAUAAGGACAGCAGUCAUUGGAUUAGGGCCCACCCGAAUGCACAUUACCUCAUCUUAUUUUAACUAAUUAUGUUUCCAAAGAUUUUAUUUCCGCAUAGGGUCAUAUUCUGAGGCUCCAGUGGACAUGCAUUCUGGGGAACGCUAUUUAACUCAGUGCACUUGUGACUACGUUGGGCCCCCCUGGAUAAUCCAGGAAAAUCUCCCUAUUUUUAAAAUCAGCUGAUUAGCAACUGUGUUAUUCCAUUUUGUGUUGCUAUAAAUACACACCUGAGGCUGGGUCUAUUAUAAAGAAGAGAGGUUCAUCUGGCUCACAGUUCUGUAGCCUGUGUAAGGAGCAUGGUGCCUACAUCUGCUUCUGAUGAGGACCUCAGAAAGCUUCCAGUCAUAGUGGAAGGUGAAGGAGCAGGCAUAUCACAUGGUGAGAAAGGAGCAAGAGUGGGAGAGAGGGGUGCCAUGAUGCUCUUUCAAACAACUAGCUCUUGCAUGAACUAGUGGAGCAAGAACUCACUCAUUACUGCAAGGGCAGCACCAAGCCAUUUAUGAGGGAUCUGUCCCCAUGACCCAAACACCUCCCACUGGGCCCAUCUUCAACACUAGUGAUCACAUUUUAAUGCAAUUUGGAAGGGAUAAACAUCCAAACUAUCUGAGUCACCUUCAUGUAAUUUACAACUGCAAUUCCCCCUUGCCACAUAACACAUUCACCAUAUGUGAGGUUUAGAUGUGGACACCAUUGGGUGGGGAGGGGCCAUUAUUAUGUCUAACACAGACAUAAAAAAGGCUCCAGAGCUCAGAUGAUCCAGUUUAGAUCACGCCACUGCUGGCCGCUGGACUGUCCACAGAAGAAUUUGAGGGAGACCCUAGGAGGCCCAUGUGCCCCUGGUAAGACCAUACUCUCAGCUGCCUCCACAACCUGCCCACCUUAUCUCUACAAAAAUGCCUAGGAAUUCAGGUCAAGAAGGAGGCUGUAAUUAGAACUGGAUUUCUCUGCCCUGCACCUUCACGGAGACCUCAGUGUCCACAUAAAUGACUUCUGACACCAGGGCCCCUCAGCUGCUUCGUCUUUCCACAUCCACCAUCUCCAUCUUUUCCUUCUACUCCCCUCAUCCACAUCCUCUCGGUUUUUGUUAUACGAUCAUGUGAAGAGUUGGUUUUGGCUUUGCUUGUUGAGGCAGGGUCUCACUGUGUUGCCCAGGCUGGAGUGCAGUGGCUGUUCACAGGCAUGGUCGUAGCACACAACAGCCUUGAACUCCUGGGCUCAAGCUGUCUUCCUGCCGCAGCCUCGUGAGUAGCUGGGAUUAUAGGUGUGCAGCAUCUGUACCGAUACCCAGAAAUAGAUUCUGACUUAAAGAAUCUGGGGAGGUCCCAGGCCAUCAGUAUUGUCAGAACCAUCGUGGGCUAUUUCUAAUGCGCAGCCAGGGAUCGGAGUCACUGCCUGGCCCAUUGCUGGGAGCCUCCAAAGUCUUUAUUUUAGUCUUUAGCUGGCACCACCUAGUUUCCAGCUUCCUUCCUGCAACACUCCCAGUGCCCCGCCAGGACUAACACUGCACCGAAUCCUCUAUAUAGUCAUUGUUCAUUCAUAAAGUCCUUUAAUCCCUGCCUGAAACCCAUGAGCCACUGUCCCUACUUCACACAUGCUCCCGUUGGGGGGUUUUGAGCACAGGCAUGACAUGAUAUGAUUUUAAAAGUUAAAGAUUAUUCCAGCUUCUAUAUGGGAAAAAGACUGUGGAGCAGGACUGGAAGCCGGGAGACUGGUAAUCCAGCUAACCUGGAGGUGCCUCCAGUAGCCCAGGAAAGAGGGGACAGGGGGAGGAGAACCGCAGCAAUGGAAGACGUCAGGCUAGGGAUGUACCUUCAAGACCUGCUAAUGGAGCUGGCUUAGUUUAGAGAGAAAGAGCAGAGUCAAGAUGAAUUUGUACUUUUUGCCUGAGCAUCUGGGUGUGCUGCACCCUUAACAGAGGUGUGAAUAGCACGCUGAGCAGGUGGAGGUAGAGGAACCUUAGAUUCAGCAUUGGAUAUAUCAAAUCAGAGAGGCCUAGUAGAGUCCAAGGGCAGAUGUCAAAUGGGCAAUUGUGCCAAUGAGUCUGGAAGCUCAGAGGAGAGGUUGAGACUGGGAAUAAGGAUUUGAGUGUCCUCAGUAAAUAUGUGAUGUCUUAGAACCAGAUGAGGUCAUCCAGCGAGUCAUGCAGAUGAAGUAUGUCCUGGGAUAUUUGUUUAAUGGUCAAGAGGCAGGGAAGGGUUGAGUAAGAGGGACUGAGAAGGAACAGCCGUGAGUAAAGGGGAAACCAGAGAAUUCUGGCAUCCCCAAUGCUGAAGAGUUUCAUGAAGAUAAUGACCAACUGAUCCAGUGUAGCAGAUGUUGGAUCACAGCAGGUUCAAGGCUUGCCUGCUGAGUGUGGCACCAUGGAGGUCACUGUGACCUCAGCAAGUGCAGGACUCUGGUGGCAUAAAAGUCCGUCACCAGUGUGGGCACAGAGAGAAAGGACACGGGAUUGAUCGGCAGGAUACUGGCCCUCCAAAAAUGUUCACAUCCAAACCCCCAGGGCCUGUCUGUUAGCUUACAUGGCAAAAAAGGUCAUUGCCCAUGGGAUGAAAUUCAGGAUCUUGUGAUGGGGAUGUGUACUGGAUAAUCCAGGUGAGCCCAAGGUAAUUUCAAGAACCUUAACAAGAGAGGCAGAAAAGUCAGAGUUGGAGAGAGACUAGAAUGUGAUCCACUGUUGACUUUGAGAUGUGGUCAUGAACCAGCGGCUGUGAAGAGGUGAUGGCAAUGUGGGCAGCCUGUGGAGGUGCAAGUGACUGGGAGACAGCUUCUUCCUGGAGCCUCCAGGAGGCGUGCAGCCCUGCCCUGCCUGGAUUCUACCCAGUAAAACCCAUUUUGGACCUCUGACCUCCAGAACUGUAAGGUAAUGAAUGUUGUUUAUGCUGUUUGAAGCCUCUAGGUGUGUGGUGAUUUGCUGUGGCAGCACCAGGGAAGGAAUCUGGGAGAUGAAUGGCACAUUUGCGUGGUGCUGGGGACCAUCCAGAUCCAGCAGAGCAAAAAACACUGAAGAUGCAGGGGAGGAAGGGUAGAACUGGAAGAGCCGCCUCCUGCAGGAGGCAAGAGAGUGGGGACCUGGACCCAGGUGGAAGGGUUGCCCUGGUGCAAGGCAGGAGGCCGAACAAUGUGUGGGGUCCAGAGGAAGGUAGGUUGUGGGGUUAGUCGGUCAAAAGAGAUAAGAAAAUCCCCUUCUGAUGGCUUUGGUGCCUUCUGUGAAAUAAACGGGGAAGGUUUUCAGUAGAGAUGAAGAGGAGGAGGGAAGAAGAGAAAGCCAAGUUGUAAAAAGCUCAGUUCAAAAAAACUGAGUUAAGGCCAGACAUGGUGGCUCACGCCUGUAUUCCCAGCACAUAAGGAGGCCAAGGCAGGCGGAUCACAAGGUCAGGAGUUCGAGACCAGCCUGGCCAACAUGGUGAAACCCCAUCUCUAGUAAAAAUACAAAAAUCAACUGGGUUUGGUGGUGGGUACCUGUAGUCCCAGCUGCUCAGGGGAGGCUGAGGCAGGAGAAUCACUUGAACCCAGGAGGCAGAGGUUGAAGUGAGCUGAGAUUGCGCCAUUGCACUCCAGCCUGGGCGACAGAGUGAGACUCUGUCUCAAAAAAACAAAACAAAAAAUGGAGUUGAACAAUUCUACUUCCUGUAAUUUUUUCGAAAGGAAUAAUCAGGGAGAUGCACAAGGUUGUAUCUGUGAAAAUGUGCCUUACCACAUUGUUUAAGAUCGUGAAAAAUUGGGAACAGGCAAAACGGCAGACGAGAGGCUUCUCAUUGAAGAAGUUGUGUUAUAUGCGUGAUGAAUCACACUGCAGCCAAUAUAAACCAUGCUUUAGAAGACCAUUUAAUUAAAUAUGAAAAUGUACGAUCUUGUUAAGGGAAUGUGGCUACAAAACAAAUAUGUACAGAAUGAAAGCAAUUUUGCAGAAAUAGUGUGUGUAAAUAUGUACGUUUAAAAAGACUAAGGAAACAUGCCUAAAUUUAAAUAAUAAUUAUCUUUGGGUGAGGGAAUUACAGCUUCUUACUUGUCUGCAUUUUUAUAUUAAAUAGAAAUGAUUUUUUUAUUAUGAGUCCCCUUUGUGUGUGGAAAGAGUAAAAAGUCAGGAAGGAAUGGAUUCAGAAAGUAACAUUGGUCAAUUCACUACUCAGAGCUCCAUAUGUAGGUUAUUUAAUGAGCAAAACAACCCAGAGAAGGAGGCAUGACAUUUACACAUGACUAAUGAGGACAUUAAGACUCAAAAACCUAAGUUACUCCUUGAAUAUAACCUGUAAUGAGAAUCAAAUCCAGUUUCUCUUCCUCCGUUGUGUCACAUGUUUCCACAUGCUCAGUGUUCUGCCAACAAACUCAAGGGACACAGAUAUGACAGACACCACACCCUUGUCCCUCCUGAAAGGUAAGGACUCAGUGAAGGUGGACACUGGCCACAUCCCAGUCCUGUUGCUAUGAUAGGACACUCACAUUGGUAAAAACGCUGCAAAGGAGCUGGGUGCUGUGGCUCAUGCCUCAAUCCCAGAUCUUUGGGAGGCCGAGGCAGGUAGAUUCACCUGAGGUCAGGAGUUUGAGACCAGCCUGACCAACAUGGAGAAACCCCGUCUACUAAAGAUGCAAAAUUAUCUGGGCAUGGUGGCUCAUGCCUGUAAUCCCAGCUACUCAGUGGCUGAGGCAGGAGAAGUGCUUGAACCCGGAAGGCAGAGGUUGUGGUGAGCCAAGAUGGCGCCAUUACACUCCAGCCUGGGCAACAAGAGCGAAACUCCAUCUCAGAAAAACAAAAAACAAAACAAUAAACAACAACAACAAAAUACUGCAAAGGAAAACAUACAUACACACACAUACACGCACACACACACAAGUGACAUUAAAGGUUGUCAGACAUGAAGCCACACCUGGUCUUGUUUGCUACACCCUAGGGGAAAGGAUUCUCUCCCUAUGAUGGUUGGAGUCUCUUGUGGAUUGAAUUGUGGCCCCCAAAGAGAUAUGUUCAAGUUACAAUCCCGGUACUGGUCGAUAUGACCUUAUUUUAGAAAUAGGGCCUUUGCAGAUCUCAUUAAGAUGAGGUCACACUGGGUUAGGAUGGGCCUUAACUCAUUGGUCUCCAGCUUUUCGGCACCAGGGACCAGUGUCUUGGAAGAUAAUCUUUCCAUGAAAUGGGGACGAGGGGGGUGGUUUUGGGAUGAGUCAAGUGCAUUGCAUUGAUCGUGCACUUUAUUUCUGUUAUUAUCACAUUGUAAUACAUAAUGAAGUAAUUCUACAACCCACCAUAAUGUAGAAUCAGUGGGAGCCCUGAGCUUGUGUUCCUGCAACUAGAUGAUCCCAUCUGGGGUGAUGGGAGACGGUGGCAGAUCAUCAGGCAUUAGAUUCUCAUAAGGAGCGUGCACCUAGAUCCCUCACACACACAGUUUGCAAUAGGCGUCGAGCUCCUAUGAGAAUCUAAUGCUGCUGUUGAUCUGACACAAGGCAGAGCUCAGGUAGUAAUGCGAGAGAUAGAGAGUGGCUAUAAAUACGGAUGAGGUUUUGCUCACUUGCCCACCACUCACCUGCUGUGUGGCCUGGUUUCUAACAGGCCACAGACCGAUACUGGGUUGGGGACCCCUCCCCUAAUCCAGCGACCCAAUGACUGGUGUUCUAAUAAGAAGAGGGAAACUUGGAAACAGAGACUCAGAGAGACACAGAGAGGAGAAGGCCACGUGAAGACAAAGGCAGAGGUAGAAGGGAUGCGACCACAAGCCAAGGAGUGCCAAGGACUGCCAGCAACCAGCAGAAGCUAGAAGGAUGGUAUAGAACAGAUUCUCCCUCUGAGUCCCCAAGAAGGAACCAACCUGCUGGCCUCUUGCUUUCAGACUUCUGACCUCCAGAACCAUGAGAGAACCAAUUUUUGUUCUUUGAAGCCACCCAGUUUGCAAAACUUUAAGAAGCCCUAGGAAACUAAUAAAGGGUCAUAAGGAAAAGGCUUGGACUUGUGUUUGAAAGGGUUAAUGAGCCUCUGAGGCUGGGUUGCUUCUGAGUGGGGAUCCCCCUUGCACACUCAGGCCUCCUGGCCUGGCCGGCUACCUGGAGGAGUCUCUGGACAGUGCAAAGGCAUUGGUCCCAAGAUUGGAAUUUGGAACUUGGGAUGCUGGCACUAGACUUCUCAUGAGAUUGCUGUGCCUGAUUUUGCAGUGGCCAGGGACCGCUGGACUUAGUAGGGAUGCAGGGAAUGGGUAGAGAGUCAACGUCCUCCACUUAGUGUGUUGCACUCAUUAGUGAGUUAGGAAUGCAUUUGAUUACGGUGAUGGUUUGGGGAACAGUUUCUAACCUAAUGAAUCUGAUAGUCGGGAAAGUCCAGUUAAAUCACUGCUGGUGCAUAUACGUGUAAGUCUUUUAAAGUGAUGGUCCUCAGCGGCACAUCCAGAAGCCACUAACCACAUGUAGCCAACUACAUCUUUUAAAAUGUAUCUUUCAGCCAGGCAUGGUGGCACAUGCGUGUAAUCCUAGCUACUUGGGAGGCUGAGGUGGGAGUACUGCUUGAGCUCAGAAAUUCAAGACCAGCCUGGCCAGCAUAGUGAGAACCUGUCUGAAAAAAAAUUUUAAAUGUUCAAUUUUCAGAUUAGAAUAUUCACUCUUCUUGGUGUACAUUUCCACUGACUCUGACACAUGCGUGGAGUCAGGUCCCUGGCACCGUAACAGAGAUGCAGAAAAGUUCCAUCCCAGCAAAAUAUUCCCCCAUUCCUUUGUAGUCAGCCUUCUGUCAACUCCCAACCCCUGGCAGCCACUCAUCUACUCUUUAUCCUUAUAGUUUUGCCUUUUAAAAUGUAAAUUAAUUAAAAUGAAAAAUUUGGUU
Non-coding RNA from Callithrix jacchus (white-tufted-ear marmoset), 13917 nucleotides. The record is from RefSeq and is a predicted model, not a curated record. Lineage: Eukaryota; Metazoa; Chordata; Mammalia; Primates; Cebidae.